RNAcentral lists this ribosomal RNA (497 nucleotides) under uncultured bacterium. Its description in RNAcentral is "partial 16S ribosomal RNA". It matches the Rfam family "Bacterial small subunit ribosomal RNA", at positions 28 to 507 of the family's 1533-position model. The record is from RNAcentral.
GAUGAACGCUGGCGGCGUGCCUGAUACAUGCAAGUCGAGCGAACGGACGAGAAGCUUGCUUCUCUGAUGUUAGCGGCGGACGGGUGAGUAACACGUGGAUAACCUACCUAUAAGACUGGGAUAACUUCGGGAAACCGGAGCUAAUACCGGAUAAUAUUUUGAACCGCAUGGUUCAAAAGUAAAAGACGGUCUUGCUGUCACUUAUAGAUGGAUCCGCGCUGCAUUAGCUAGUUGGUAAGGUAACGGCUUACCAAGGCAACGAUGCAUAGCCGACCUGAGAGGGUGAUCGGCCACACUGGAACUGAGACACGGUCCAGACUCCUACGGGAGGCAGCAGUAGGGAAUCUUCCGCAAUGGGCGAAAGCCUGACGGAGCAACGCCGCGUGAGUGAUGAAGGUCUUCGGAUCGUAAAACUCUGUUAUUAGGGAAGAACAUAUGUGUAAGUAACUGUGCACAUCUUGACGGUACCUAAUCAGAAAGCCACGGCUAACUACGUG